Molecule: unclassified non-coding RNA, 552 nt
Filed under: Hevea brasiliensis (rubber tree)
Lineage: Eukaryota; Viridiplantae; Streptophyta; Magnoliopsida; Malpighiales; Euphorbiaceae
Source: RNAcentral
GUGAAUCUGCGGGCUAAGGGUACGAGGAACUUCUCAUUGAGCGAGGUGAAGGUGAGGAUGCUGAUGAAGAGAAAGAGCGAGAGAGAGCCCGAGGGGUAGACGAAGGAUCUGCCAAUGUGACGGUUCAUGUAGGUGGCCUGCUCGACAGAAAAGGUGGUCAUUUGGGAGUAGAUGGUCCAGAAGAGGAUGCACGUCGACCAGAUUGGGAUCAGCUUGAGGACCAUCUUCACCUCUUCUACGUGCGUAACAGUCAUCGCCGAGCAUGUCCCUUCUUCACUGCAUGCUAAGAUAGCUGCCUUGUCAAGACACCUGAAUUUCUCAGUGUGAGGAACCCUAGCCUCAUCAUACCCGUUCAGAAGGCUCGGAUGCGAAGGAUACUGCAACUUCCUCUUCCUCCAGGCCAACACUAACACCCUCCAUAUCACCGCCAACGGGCUCCCCUGCGGCCGCCGGUAACGAUAAAACGGCGUCCCGGCCAGGAGCACCGCCACCGCCAACACCAUCGCCGCCGCUGAUAUCCCGUACCCCAGCCCCCUCGAAACAUUAUCCUGG